UAUGUGAUCGUCUCUCGCAUAUCAAUAAGCGGAGGAAAAGAAACUAACAAGGAUUCCCCUAGUAACGGCGAGUGAAGCGGGAAGAGCUCAAAUUUGAAAUCUUAAAGGGUUUCCCUUUACGAAUUGUAGUUUAAAGAAGUGUUUUCUGUUGAGGUUUUGGUAAAAGUUCUUUGGAAUAGGACAUCAUAGAGGGUGAGAAUCCCGUAUUUGACCUUUACUUUCAACUUUGUGAUACACUUUCAAAGAGUCGGAUUGUUUGGGAAUGCAGUCCAAAAUGGGUGGUAAAUUUCAUCUAAAGCUAAAUAUUGGCGAGAGACCGAUAGCGAACAAGUACCGUGAGGGAAAGAUGAAAAGAACUUUGAAAAGAGAGUUAAACAGUACGUGAAAUUGUCAAAAGGGAAGCGUUUGACACCAGUGUUGUUUUUCUGAAAAUCAAUUAAAGAACUGUUUAUGCUAAGCUGUUUAGACUUCAUCAGCUAAUCUGUUUAGUUUUGAGCUUUUCUUUAAUGCACUUUUCAGUUAACAAGUCAACAUCAAUUUCUUUUGCUGUAAAAAAGCUUGAGGAAGGUGGCUUGAGAUUCGUCUUAAGUGUUUAUUAGCCUCUUGCCUAUGCAGUCGGAGAGAUUGAGGUCUGCAGCGUAGAUCCUUCGGGGCUAAAUGCAUUUGUGCUAAGUUAUAGCAUUUUAUAGACAACUUGUUGACUAUGAUUUGUCUUGUAGCUUACUCGCUUAUGUUAUUUUACCUACGCUUAGGAUGUUGAUAUCGCGCUCUCCUG
RNAcentral lists this ribosomal RNA (775 nucleotides) under uncultured Neocallimastigales. RNAcentral's name for it is "partial large subunit ribosomal RNA". It matches the Rfam family "Eukaryotic large subunit ribosomal RNA", at positions 24 to 644 of the family's 3401-position model. Lineage: Eukaryota; Fungi; Neocallimastigomycota; Neocallimastigomycetes; Neocallimastigales. The record is from RNAcentral.